Molecule: long non-coding RNA, 605 nt
Organism: Bos taurus (domestic cattle)
Lineage: Eukaryota; Metazoa; Chordata; Mammalia; Artiodactyla; Bovidae
Source: Ensembl
GGGCUGCAGAACUUGACUCUUGCUGGAAGCCUCAAGUUCAUCAGAAACAGUCGUGGCCCAUGUCUUUGAGGUUUGCUUCUAAGGUUAAGGUUCCAUAGCAAGUGGAGAAACCUUCAAUUGCCUUAGUGGAGUAAGAAGGACUAAGCAAAUCUCUAGUACAGAACCUUGCUGGGCUGAGAAGGAACCUCUCCUGCAGCCAAAGAGGGAGUAAGCAGAGGUCCCAGACCUCAGACCUGCCCUCUCACACCAGACCUUCUCUUCUGAGAAAAAGAGGAACCACCUAUUGCAAAUGGGCAGCAAAGAAAAAAUGUUGCAGAGUGAUAAACAUAGAGACAAAGGACCCAAUUACUGGACUACUUGACGCCAGCUCUGACCGUUUGGAAGUAAUGCAGGAAGAAGAAUUCAAGAUUCUCACUACUUUGUUCCUUAUCACAUACCCCAGACUGCAAGCCCCACCUAUAUAAUUCCCUCAGAUUCCUCAAAGUGGGGCACAGUUCUUGAGAUGCUAGCCUGAGGUGUUCUCUCACCCAUCUUUCUAUUUGCUCCAAAACCUUGUCUCCAUAUUUUUAUUUAGCAUCAGUGGAGAGGGAGCCAGGAUUUUGGCA